CGAAGGGUGCAAGCGUUAGUCGGAAUUACUGGGCGUAAAGCGUGCGUAGGCGGUUUCUUAAGUCUGCCGUGAAAGCCCCGGGCUCAACCUGGGAAUGGCGGUGGAUACUGGGAAGCUGGAGUGCGGUAGAGGAGGGUGGAAUUCCCGGUGUAGCGGUGAAAUGCGUAGAGAUCGGGAGGAACAUCAGUGGCGAAGGCGGCCCUCUGGACCAGCACUGACGCUGAGGCACGAAAGCGUGGGGAGGCAAACAGGAUUAGAUACCCUGGUAGUCCACGCCCUAAACGAUGCGAACUGGACGUUGGGCACAACUCGGUGCUCAGUGUCGAAGCUAACGCGUUAAGUUCGCCGCCUGGGGAGUACGCUCGCAAGAGUG
RNAcentral lists this ribosomal RNA (373 nucleotides) under uncultured organism. Its description in RNAcentral is "bacterial SSU rRNA". It matches the Rfam family "Bacterial small subunit ribosomal RNA", at positions 526 to 896 of the family's 1533-position model. The record is from RNAcentral.